RNAcentral lists this long non-coding RNA (271 nucleotides) under Gossypium raimondii (Peruvian cotton). RNAcentral describes it as "long non-coding RNA (GRAI_LNC004318)". Lineage: Eukaryota; Viridiplantae; Streptophyta; Magnoliopsida; Malvales; Malvaceae. The record is from RNAcentral.
GGGGACUAAGUGCGCAAAAAUCCCAUCAGACCCAAAAUGCGCUGGUCACAGCCACAUCUGGGUCGGGUCAUCGGGUAUAGGCCAAUACGGCACCGUUUUGGAGCCAUUGAAGCUGGCCCUAAACGGUGUCAUUUCUUAAACCCCAUAUAAACUAAAUCAAAACCCUAAAAUCCCUAAUGUUUGACCACCUCCUUUAAACUAUCAGAGAAAAAAAAAGGAAAAAACUAAGCCCCCUUUUCUUCUUACGCCGUUUCCUCAAAUCCCCUUCCUU